This 482-nucleotide long non-coding RNA is filed under the name Ananas comosus (pineapple). RNAcentral's name for it is "long non-coding RNA (ACOM_LNC014270)". The record is from RNAcentral. Lineage: Eukaryota; Viridiplantae; Streptophyta; Magnoliopsida; Poales; Bromeliaceae.
AGCACUAAGGCUUCGUUUGGAAUUAUAGGGGAUUGUAUUACAUGCGGUAAAAAAAUACGUUGAAAAAAUAAUGUUAAUUUUUAUUUUCGUAUGUAAUAUUACGUUCCGCAUAUUGCAAUGAGCCGGUUACGAUAUAUUUUCUGCGGUCCCACCGGAGAACGCAGAAAUAUAUUGCUAUAUGCUUUUUUUUCAAUUUCAUUUUAUUUAAUAGUAUUAGAUAGACCUCAAUAUCAAAUUAAGCCUAAAUUUAGAUCAAAUUGGUGGUCCCUCUUAUAUCUUCAAACAGUAAAACAUUCCCUAAAGCUUAAUACGAAAAGGCUGAAUUGUUUAAGGAUGACAAGAAGAAAACUUACGUUAUAAAACCUCUACUUUGCGGCGCACGGUGUUGUAAGGAAAAACAGUAAAAAAAANGGCUUCUGGAAUCGAUUUGUACAUCACGUUAUUUUAAUGGAACAAUAUCUCCUCCUUUACUUAGCUUGUAC